UAGGGAAUCUUCGGCAAUGGACGGAAGUCUGACCGAGCAACGCCGCGUGAGUGAAGAAGGUUUUCGGAUCGUAAAGCUCUGUUGUAAGAGAAGAACGAGUGUGAGAGUGGAAAGUUCACACUGUGACGGUAUCUUACCAGAAAGGGACGGCUAACUACGUGCCAGCAGCCGCGGUAAUACGUAGGUCCCGAGCGUUGUCCGGAUUUAUUGGGCGUAAAGCGGGCGCAGGCGGUUAGAUAAGUCUGAAGUUAAAGGCUGUGGCUUAACCAUAGUAGGCUUUGGAAACUGUUUAACUUGAGUGCAAGAGGGGAGAGUGGAAUUCCAUGUGUAGCGGUGAAAUGCGUAGAUAUAUGGAGGAACACCGGUGGCGAAAGCGGCUCUCUGGCUUGUAACUGACGCUGAGGCUCGAAAGCGUGGGGAGCAAACAGGAUUAGAUACCCUGGUAGUCCACGCUGUAAACGAUGAGUGCUAGGUGUUAGACCCUUUCCGGGGUUUAGUGCCGUAGCCGCAUUAAGCACUCCGCCUGGGGAGUACGACCGCAAGGUU
RNAcentral lists this ribosomal RNA (546 nucleotides) under uncultured bacterium. Its description in RNAcentral is "bacterial SSU rRNA". It matches the Rfam family "Bacterial small subunit ribosomal RNA", at positions 355 to 895 of the family's 1533-position model. The record is from RNAcentral.